GAUGAACGCUGGCGGCGUGCUUAACACAUGCAAGUCGAACGAUGAAGCCCAGCUUGCUGGGUGGAUUAGUGGCGAACGGGUGAGUAACACGUGAGUAACCUGCCCUUAACUCUGGGAUAAGCCUGGGAAACUGGGUCUAAUACCGGAUAGGAGCGCCUACCGCAUGGUGGGUGUUGGAAAGAUUUAUCGGUUUUGGAUGGACUCGCGGCCUAUCAGCUUGUUGGUGAGGUAAUGGCUCACCAAGGCGACGACGGGUAGCCGGCCUGAGAGGGUGACCGGCCACACUGGGACUGAGACACGGCCCAGACUCCUACGGGAGGCGGCAGUGGGGAAUAUUGCACAAUGGGCGAAAGCCUGAUGCAGCGACGCCGCGUGAGGGAUGACGGCCUUCGGGUUGUAAACCUCUUUCAGUAGGGAAGAAGCGAAAGUGACGGUACCUGCAGAAGAAGCACCGGCUAACUACGUG
Molecule: ribosomal RNA, 466 nt
Filed under: uncultured bacterium
Lineage: Bacteria
Description: partial 16S ribosomal RNA
Rfam family: Bacterial small subunit ribosomal RNA
Source: RNAcentral